GACAGCGUGUCCGAGUGGUUAAGGAGGUGGACUUGAAAUCCACUGGGCUUUGCCCGCGCAGGUUCGAAUCCUGCCGCUGUCG
RNAcentral lists this transfer RNA (82 nucleotides) under Perkinsus olseni. It matches the Rfam family "tRNA". Rfam says of the family: Transfer RNA (tRNA) molecules are approximately 80 nucleotides in length. The record is from Rfam by way of RNAcentral. Lineage: Eukaryota; Perkinsozoa; Perkinsida; Perkinsidae.